This 446-nucleotide ribosomal RNA is filed under the name uncultured bacterium. Its description in RNAcentral is "partial 16S ribosomal RNA". It matches the Rfam family "Bacterial small subunit ribosomal RNA", at positions 29 to 523 of the family's 1533-position model. The record is from RNAcentral.
AACGAACGCUGGCGGCAGGCUUAACACAUGCAAGUCGAACGCCCCGCAAGGGGAGUGGCAGACGGGUGAGUAACGCGUGGGAAUCUACCGUACCCUACGGAACAACAGUUGGAAACGACUGCUAAUACCGUAUACGCCCUACGGGGGAAAGAUUUAUCGGGGUAUGAUGAGCCCGCGUUGGAUUAGCUAGUUGGUGGGGUAAAGGCCUACCAAGGCGACGAUCCAUAGCUGGUCUGAGAGGAUGAUCAGCCACAUUGGGACUGAGACACGGCCCCAACUCCUACGGGAGGCAGCAGUGGGAAUAUUGGACAAUGGGCGCAAGCCUGAUCCAGCCAUGCCGCGUGAGUGAUGAAGGUCUUAGGAUUGUAAAGCUCUUUCACCGAUGAAGAUAAUGACGGUAGUCGGAGAAGAAGCCCCGGCUAACUUCGUGCCAGCCGCCGCGGUAA